CCUACGGGCGGCAGCAGUGAGGAAUAUUGGUCAAUGGGCGGGAGCCUGAACCAGCCAAGUCGCGUGAGGGAAGACGGUCCUAUGGAUUGUAAACCUCUUUAGGCGGGGAGCAAUGCCGGGCACGUGUGCCCGGAGGGAGAGUACCAGCAGAAUAAGCAUCGGCUAACUCCGUGCCAGCAGCCGCGGUAAUACGGAGGAUGCGAGUGUUAUCCGGAUUUAGUGGGUUUAAAGGGUGCGUAGGCGGAUUUUUAAGUCAGCGGUAAAAUGUCCGGGCUCAACCCGGGCCGGCCGUUGAAACUGGGGAUCUUGAGUGGGCGAGAAGUAUGCGGAAUGCGUGGUGUAGCGGUGAAAUGCAUAGAUAUCACGCAGAACUCCGAUUGCGAAGGCAGCAUACCGGCGCCCGACUGACGCUGAGGCACGAAAGCGUGGGGAUCGAACAGGAUUAGAUACCCUAGUAGUC
This 460-nucleotide ribosomal RNA is filed under the name uncultured bacterium. RNAcentral describes it as "partial 16S ribosomal RNA". It matches the Rfam family "Bacterial small subunit ribosomal RNA", at positions 338 to 795 of the family's 1533-position model. The record is from RNAcentral.